GCGAGGCACGGUGGCACGUGCCUGUAGUCCCAGGUGUUUGGGAGGCUGAGGCUGGAGGAUCUCUUGAGCCCAGGGGUUCUGGGCUGUAGUGCGCUGUGCUGAUCGGGUGUCUGCACUAAGUUAGCCAUCAAUAUGGUGACCUCCCGGGAGCGGGGGACCACCAGGUUGCCUAAGAAGGGGUGAACCGGCCCAGGUCACAGACGGAGCAGGUCAGAACUCCUGUGCUGAUCAGUAGUGGGAUCGCGCCUAUAAAUAGCCACUGCACUCCAGCCUGGGCAACAUAGCGAGACCCCGUCUCU
RNAcentral lists this signal recognition particle RNA (299 nucleotides) under Cebus imitator (Panamanian white-faced capuchin). RNAcentral describes it as "Metazoan signal recognition particle RNA (ENSCCAG00000006056.1)". It matches the Rfam family "Metazoan signal recognition particle RNA". Rfam says of the family: The signal recognition particle (SRP) is a universally conserved ribonucleoprotein. It is involved in the co-translational targeting of proteins to membranes. The record is from RNAcentral. Lineage: Eukaryota; Metazoa; Chordata; Mammalia; Primates; Cebidae.